This 386-nucleotide ribosomal RNA is filed under the name uncultured Gammaproteobacteria bacterium. RNAcentral describes it as "bacterial SSU rRNA". It matches the Rfam family "Bacterial small subunit ribosomal RNA", at positions 1034 to 1419 of the family's 1533-position model. The record is from RNAcentral. Lineage: Bacteria; Pseudomonadati; Pseudomonadota; Gammaproteobacteria.
ACAGGUGCUGCAUGGCCGUCGUCAGCUCGUGUCGUGAGAUGUUGGGUUAAGUCCCGUAACGAGCGCAACCCUUGUCCUUAGUUGCCAGCACGUCAUGGUGGGAACUCUAGGGAGACUGCCGGUGACAAACCGGAGGAAGGUGGGGACGACGUCAGGUCAUCAUGGCCCUUACGACCUGGGCUACACACGUGCUACAAUGGCUGGUACAGAGGGUUGCGAAGUCGCGAGGCGAAGCUAAUCCCUUAAAGCCAGUCGUAGUCCGGAUCGGAGUCUGCAACUCGACUCCGUGAAGUCGGAAUCGCUAGUAAUCGCGGAUCAGAAUGCCGCGGUGAAUACGUUCCCGGGCCUUGUACACACCGCCCGUCACACCAUGGGAGUGGAUUGCA